GACGAACGCUGGCGGCGUGCUUAACACAUGCAAGUCGAGCGGUAAGGCCCCUUCGGGGGUACACGAGCGGCGAACGGGUGAGUAACACGUGGGUGACCUGCCUUUAGCUCUGGGAUAAGCCUGGGAAACUGGGUCUAAUACCGGAUACGACUCCGCGGUGCAUGCUGUGGGGUGGAAAGCCUUGUGCGGCUGGAGAUGGGCCCGCGGCCUAUCAGCUUGUUGGUGGGGUGAUGGCCACCAAGGCGACGACGGGUAGCCGGCCUGAGAGGGCGACCGGCCACACUGGGACUGAGACACGGCCCAGACUCCUACGGGAGGCAGCAGUGGGGAAUCUUGCGCAAUGGGCGAAAGCCUGACGCAGCGACGCCGCGUGAGGGAUGACGGCCU
RNAcentral lists this ribosomal RNA (387 nucleotides) under uncultured bacterium. RNAcentral describes it as "bacterial SSU rRNA". It matches the Rfam family "Bacterial small subunit ribosomal RNA", at positions 28 to 417 of the family's 1533-position model. The record is from RNAcentral.